Molecule: transfer RNA, 70 nt
Filed under: Marmota monax (woodchuck)
Lineage: Eukaryota; Metazoa; Chordata; Mammalia; Rodentia; Sciuridae
Description: tRNA.Ala
Source: RNAcentral
GGGAUGGAGCUCAGUGGUAGAGUGUUAGCCUAGCAUGCAGGGGGCCCUGGGUCAGAUCCUCAGUACCCCG